RNAcentral lists this ribosomal RNA (389 nucleotides) under uncultured bacterium. Its description in RNAcentral is "bacterial SSU rRNA". It matches the Rfam family "Bacterial small subunit ribosomal RNA", at positions 28 to 417 of the family's 1533-position model. The record is from RNAcentral.
GACGAACGCCGGCGGCGUGCUUAACACAUGCAAGUCGAGCGGUAAGGCCCUUUCGGGGGUACGACGAGCGGCGAACGGGUGAGUAACACGUGGGUGACCUGCCCUCAGCUCUGGGAUAAGCCUGGGAAACCGGGUCUAAUACUGGAUAUGACUCCAUGACGCAUGUUGUGGGGUGGAAAGCCUUGUGCGGCUGAGGAUGGGCCCGCGGCCUAUCAGCUUGUUGGUGGGGUGAUGGCCUACCAAGGCGACGACGGGUAGCCGGCCUGAGAGGGCGACCGGCCACACUGGGACUGAGACACGGCCCAGACUCCUACGGGAGGCAGCAGUGGGGAAUCUUGCGCAAUGGGCGAAAGCCUGACGCAGCGACGCCGCGUGAGGGAUGACGGCCU